RNAcentral lists this ribosomal RNA (497 nucleotides) under uncultured bacterium. RNAcentral's name for it is "partial 16S ribosomal RNA". It matches the Rfam family "Bacterial small subunit ribosomal RNA", at positions 28 to 507 of the family's 1533-position model. The record is from RNAcentral.
GACGAACGCUGGCGGCGUGCUUAAUACAUGCAAGUUGAACGCUGAAGGCUGGUUCUUGUACCAACUGGGUGAGCAGCGAACGGGUGAGUAACGCGUGGGCAAUCUUCCUUUGUGCGGGGGACAACAUUUACAAACGAAUGCAAAUACCGCAUAAACACUUUAAACACAAGGUUUAAGUUUGAAAGAUGCAAUUGCAUCACUCACACAGCAUCUCACGUUGUAUUAGCUAGUUGGUGAGGUAAAGGCUCACCAAGGCGGUGAUACAUAGCCGAAGUGAGGGGGUGAUCGGCCGCCUUGGGACGGAGACGCGCCCCAAAGGCCUGCGGUAGGCACCAGUAGGGAACCUGCGGCAAUGGACGGGAGUCUUACCGAGCGAGGCCGCGUGAGUGGCGAAGAUUUUCGGAUCGGAAAAAUCGGUUUGUAGAUAAGAACGGUGGUGAGAGUGGAAAGAUCAUCAAGUGACGGUAACUAGCAAGAAAGGGACGGCUAACUACGUG